RNAcentral lists this ribosomal RNA (412 nucleotides) under uncultured bacterium. RNAcentral describes it as "bacterial SSU rRNA". It matches the Rfam family "Bacterial small subunit ribosomal RNA", at positions 108 to 518 of the family's 1533-position model. The record is from RNAcentral.
GAGUAACGCGUAUCCAACCGUUCCCUAUAGUAGAGGAUAGCCCGGCGAAAGUCGGAUUAAUACUCUAUGUUUUCCGUUGCAGACAUCUAAGAUGGAACAAAGGCUUGCCGCUAUAGGAUGGGGAUGCGUCUGAUUAGGUAGUCGGCGGGGUAACGGCCCACCGAGCCAUCGAUCAGUAGGGGUUCUGAGAGGAAGGUCCCCCACAUUGGAACUGAGACACGGUCCAAACUCCUACGGGAGGCAGCAGUGAGGAAUAUUGGUCAAUGGACGAGAGUCUGAACCAGCCAAGUAGCGUGCAGGACGACGGCCCUAUGGGUUGUAAACUGCUUUUAUGCGGGAUAAAGUUCACUACGUGUAGUGUUUUGUAGGUACCGCAUGAAUAAGGACCGGCUAAUUCCGUGCCAGCCGCGGC